GACGAACGCUGGCGGCGUGCUUAACACAUGCAAGUCGAACGGUGAUGCACCAGCUUGCUGGAGUGGAUCAGUGGCGAACGGGUGCGUAACACGUGAGCAACCUGCCCCAGACUCUGGAAUAAGCGCUGGAAACGGCGUCUAAUACUGGAUACGAAACUGGCCCGCAUGGGCAUGGUUUGGAAAGUUUUUCGGUUUGGGAUGGGCUCGCGGCCUAUCAGCUUGUUGGUGAGGUAAUGGCUAACCAAGGCGACGACGGGUAGCCGGCCUGAGAGGGCGACCGGCCACACUGGGACUGAGACACGGCCCAGACUCCUACGGGAGGCAGCAGUGGGGAAUAUUGCACAAUGGGCGAAAGCCUGAUGCAGCGACGCCGCGUGAGGGAUGACGGCCUUCGGGUUGUAAACCUCUUUCAGCAGGGAAGAAGCGAAAGUGACGGUACCUGCAGAAGAAGCACCGGCUAACUACGUG
RNAcentral lists this ribosomal RNA (468 nucleotides) under uncultured bacterium. Its description in RNAcentral is "partial 16S ribosomal RNA". It matches the Rfam family "Bacterial small subunit ribosomal RNA", at positions 28 to 507 of the family's 1533-position model. The record is from RNAcentral.